RNAcentral lists this non-coding RNA (117 nucleotides) under Nomascus leucogenys (northern white-cheeked gibbon). Lineage: Eukaryota; Metazoa; Chordata; Mammalia; Primates; Hylobatidae. The record is from Rfam by way of RNAcentral.
GCCGGGCAUGGUGGCUCAUGCCUGUAAUCCUAGCACUUUGGGAGGCCGAGGCAGGUGGAUCACCUGAGGUCAGGAGUUUGAGACCAGUCUGACCAACAUGGUGAAAACCCGUCUCUA